Molecule: ribosomal RNA, 891 nt
Filed under: Acinetobacter baumannii
Lineage: Bacteria; Pseudomonadati; Pseudomonadota; Gammaproteobacteria; Moraxellales; Moraxellaceae
Description: bacterial SSU rRNA
Rfam family: Bacterial small subunit ribosomal RNA
Source: RNAcentral
AUGCAAGUCGAGCGGGGGAAGGUAGCUUGCUACUGGACCUAGCGGCGGACGGGUGAGUAAUGCUUAGGAAUCUGCCUAUUAGUGGGGGACAACAUCUCGAAAGGGAUGCUAAUACCGCAUACGUCCUACGGGAGAAAGCAGGGGAUCUUCGGACCUUGCGCUAAUAGAUGAGCCUAAGUCGGAUUAGCUAGUUGGUGGGGUAAAGGCCUACCAAGGCGACGAUCUGUAGCGGGUCUGAGAGGAUGAUCCGCCACACUGGGACUGAGACACGGCCCAGACUCCUACGGGAGGCAGCAGUGGGGAAUAUUGGACAAUGGGGGGAACCCUGAUCCAGCCAUGCCGCGUGUGUGAAGAAGGCCUUAUGGUUGUAAAGCACUUUAAGCGAGGAGGAGGCUACUCUAGUUAAUACCUAGGGAUAGUGGACGUUACUCGCAGAAUAAGCACCGGCUAACUCUGUGCCAGCAGCCGCGGUAAUACAGAGGGUGCGAGCGUUAAUCGGAUUUACUGGGCGUAAAGCGUGCGUAGGCGGCUUAUUAAGUCGGAUGUGAAAUCCCCGAGCUUAACUUGGGAAUUGCAUUCGAUACUGGUGAGCUAGAGUAUGGGAGAGGAUGGUAGAAUUCCAGGUGUAGCGGUGAAAUGCGUAGAGAUCUGGAGGAAUACCGAUGGCGAAGGCAGCCAUCUGGCCUAAUACUGACGCUGAGGUACGAAAGCAUGGGGAGCAAACAGGAUUAGAUACCCUGGUAGUCCAUGCCGUAAACGAUGUCUACUAGCCGUUGGGGCCUUUGAGGCUUUAGUGCGCAGCUAACGCGAUAAGUAGACCGCCUGGGGAGUACGGUCGCAAGACUAAAACUCAAUGAAUUGACGGGGGCCCGCACAAGCGGUGGAGCAUGU